Molecule: long non-coding RNA, 651 nt
Filed under: Manihot esculenta (cassava)
Lineage: Eukaryota; Viridiplantae; Streptophyta; Magnoliopsida; Malpighiales; Euphorbiaceae
Description: long non-coding RNA (MESC_LNC003179)
Source: RNAcentral
GGAGACUUUCAUUUACCGGCAUGCAGUGCCUGGAAGCAUUUGGAAGGCGCAAAAGUGGCUUCAGAUAGGGAAAGAGAAAAAGUUCAAGCAAGCCUGGAAGAUCUUUGAUGAAUUUUUGGAGCAAUGUCUUACAAGAAAGCGAGAGCAAUUAAGCCAAAACUGUAGAGAUCAAAUAGAAGGAGAGGGUUUCGACUUGUUAACGUACUUUUUGGCAGAAGAUGAUGAUUUUGAAGCAACUGCAGCAAAAAUUGGCAUUCAGACAAAAUCAAAUAAGUUUCUAAGAGAUAUGGCGUUUAAUCUCUUUCUAGCUGGAAGAGAUACCAUAGGUGCUAGUCUUAUUUGGCUCUUUUGGCUUGUUGGAACACACCCAUCUGUAGAAAAAAAGAUUUUGGAAGAGAUCAAAGAAAAUCUAGGAGAAAAAACUAAUGAAAAACGGAGGGUUUUCAGUACUGAAGAGGUAAGAAAACUAGUUUAUCUUCAUGCAGUGAUAUGUGAGGUUUUAAGGCUGUAUCCAUCAGUACCUUUUGAGCACAAAGUGUCAAUCGAAGAAGACAUAUUGCCUAGCGGGCAUAAUGUGCCUAAAAACAUGAGGAUUUUAUUCUCCUUCUAUUCGAUGGGAAGGAUGGAAGAAAUUUGGGGUAAAGAUUGCUU